RNAcentral lists this unclassified non-coding RNA (286 nucleotides) under Hevea brasiliensis (rubber tree). The record is from RNAcentral. Lineage: Eukaryota; Viridiplantae; Streptophyta; Magnoliopsida; Malpighiales; Euphorbiaceae.
GGAUUCACAAUGCCAUAGCAUGCAUUGCAGAGGAGCUUGAAGUAGAGAAGAAAUUAAGAAGACAGACAGAGAGGUUGAAUAAGAAGCUUGGAAAAGAAUUGGCAGAUACAAAGGCAUCUUUGUCACAGGCUUUGAAAGAGCUUGAGAGUGAGAAGAGGGCAAAGGAGAUAUUGGAGCAAGUCUGCGACGAGUUGGCCAGAGGCAUUGGAGAAGACAGAGCUGAGGUCGAAGAAUUGAAAAGAGAAUCUGCAAAAGUUAGGGAGGAGAUGGAAAAAGAAAGGGAAAU